GUGCACAUUUCAUUGUCUGCUUUCUUUGUGACAAGAGAAAAGGUAUUUCUGAUGUGGGAAACAAACCUGUGGGGGUAAAUUAGCAGUGUGACUGACCUUAGCUGUUGCUGCCAGUCGCCUUCAGACAAGA
This is a small nucleolar RNA of Artibeus jamaicensis (Jamaican fruit-eating bat), 130 nucleotides long. NCBI's taxonomy places the organism in Eukaryota, Metazoa, Chordata, Mammalia, Chiroptera, Phyllostomidae. The record is from RefSeq and is a predicted model, not a curated record.